RNAcentral lists this ribosomal RNA (312 nucleotides) under Solanum lycopersicum (tomato). RNAcentral describes it as "partial 18S ribosomal RNA". The record is from RNAcentral. Lineage: Eukaryota; Viridiplantae; Streptophyta; Magnoliopsida; Solanales; Solanaceae.
AUAUAUACCAUAUGUGACACUAUUUAUAUAUAGGUAAAAAGCAUAUAAAUUUACAAAAUUAUAGAAAAAUAGAGAUCGUAAACACCCCAUAUUCCUACUGGUGAUGAAGGAGGGGGGUGAAGUUGGAUUUUCUAUUCCUUUUGCGCUGGGGUUUGGUUUUUCCGGAAGAGUUUGCCCCUAGGGUUUCGGGUUGUGGCGACAGAGGGAGGGCGCCCCUCCGCAGAAUUUUAUAAAACGUCUUCGUGGUUGUUCUUCAUUGCUGUUUCCAUAAUGAUUCUUUUGUUCCGUAGGUGAACCUGCGGAACGAUCAUU